GAUGAACGCUGGCGGCGUGCCUAAUACAUGCAAGUCGAGCGAACAGAUGAGGAGCUUGCUCCUCUGACGUUAGCGGCGGACGGGUGAGUAACACGUGGAUAACCUACCUAUAAGACUGGGAUAACUUCGGGAAACCGGAUCUAAUACCGGAUAAUAUAUUGAACCGCAUGGUUCAAUAGUUAAAGACGGUUUUGCUGUCACUUAUAGAUGGUUCCGCGCCGCAUUAGCUAGUUGGUAAGGUAACGGCUUACCAAGGCUACGAUGCGUAGCCGACCUGAGAGGGUGAUCGGCCACACUGGAACUGAGACACGGUCCAGACUCCUACGGGAGGCAGCAGUAGGGAAUCUUCCGCAAUGGGCGAAAGCCUGACGGAGCAACGCCGCGUGAGUGAUGAAGGUCUUCGGAUCGUAAAACUCUGUUAUUAGGGAAGAACAAAUGUGUAAGUAAAUAUGCACGUCUUGACGGUACCUAAUCAGAAAGCAACGGCUAACUACGUG
Molecule: ribosomal RNA, 497 nt
Filed under: uncultured bacterium
Lineage: Bacteria
Description: partial 16S ribosomal RNA
Rfam family: Bacterial small subunit ribosomal RNA
Source: RNAcentral